GUGCUUGCUUUGGUAGCAUGUGUACUAAAAUUGGUAUGAUACAGAAAAGAUUAACAUGGCCCCUGGGCAAAGAUGACACACAAAUUCAUGAUGCAUUCCAUAUUUUU
Otolemur garnettii (small-eared galago) is the source of this 107-nucleotide small nuclear RNA. The record is from Ensembl. Lineage: Eukaryota; Metazoa; Chordata; Mammalia; Primates; Galagidae.